This is a ribosomal RNA of 437 nucleotides. It matches the Rfam family "Bacterial small subunit ribosomal RNA", at positions 341 to 792 of the family's 1533-position model.
ACGGGAGGCAGCAGUGGGGAAUAUUGGGCAAUGGGCGAAAGCCUGACCCAGCAAUGCCGCGUGAAGGAAGAAGGUCUUCGGAUUGUAAACUUCUUUUAUGAGGGACGAAGGAUUUGACGGUACCUCAUGAAUGAGCCACGGCUAACUACGUGCCAGCAGCCGCGGUAAUACGUAGGUGGCAAGCGUUAUCCGGAUUUACUGGGUGUAAAGGGCGCGUAGGCGGGGAAACAAGUCAGAUGUGAAAUCCGUGGGCUCAACUCAUGAACUGCAUUUGAAACUGUUUCUCUUGAGUGCUGGAGAGGUAGAUGGAAUUCCUAGUGUAGCGGUGAAAUGCGUAGAUAUUAGGAAGAACACCAGUGGCGAAGGCGAUCUACUGGACAGUAACUGACGCUGAGGCGCGAAAGCGUGGGGAGCAAACAGGAUUAGAUACCCUGGUA